Molecule: ribosomal RNA, 572 nt
Filed under: uncultured bacterium
Lineage: Bacteria
Description: bacterial SSU rRNA
Rfam family: Bacterial small subunit ribosomal RNA
Source: RNAcentral
GAGUUUGAUCCUGGCUCAGGAUGAACGCUAGCGGCAGGCUUAACACAUGCAAGUCGAGGGGUAUAGUUCUUCGGAAUUAGAGACCGGCGCACGGGUGCGUAACGCGUAUGCAAUCUACCUUUCACAGAGGGAUAGCCCAGAGAAAUUUGGAUUAAUACCUCAUAGUAUAACGACUCUGCAUGGAGGUGUUAUUAAAGUCACAACGGUGAAAGAUGAGCAUGCGUCCCAUUAGCUAGUUGGUAAGGUAACGGCUUACCAAGGCUACGAUGGGUAGGGGUCCUGAGAGGGAGAUCCCCCACACUGGUACUGAGACACGGACCAGACUCCUACGGGAGGCAGCAGUGAGGAAUAUUGGACAAUGGGCGCAAGCCUGAUCCAGCCAUGCCGCGUGCAGGAUGACGGUCCUAUGGAUUGUAAACUGCUUUUGCACAGGAAGAAACAACGCUACGUGUAGCGUCUUGACGGUACUGUGAGAAUAAGGAUCGGCUAACUCCGUGCCAGCAGCCGCGGUAAUACGGAGGAUCCAAGCGUUAUCCGGAAUCAUUGGGUUUAAAGGGUCCGUAGGCGGUUUA